AUUGAACGCUGGCGGCAGGCCUAGCACAUGCAAGUCGAGCGGAUGAAGGGAGCUUGCUCCUGGAUUCAGCGGCGGACGGGUGAGUAAUGCCUAGGAAUCUGCCUGGUAGUGGGGGAUAACGUCCGGAAACGGGCGCUAAUACCGCAUACGUCCUGAGGGAGAAAGUGGGGGAUCUUCGGACCUCACGCUAUCAGAUGAGCCUAGGUCGGAUUAGCUAGUUGGUGGGGUAAAGGCCUACCAAGGCGACGAUCCGUAACUGGUCUGAGAGGAUGAUCAGUCACCCUGGAACUGAGACACGGUCCAGACUCCUACGGGAGGCAGCAGUGGGGAAUAUUGGACAAUGGGCGAAAGCCUGAUCCAGCCAUGCCGCGUGUGUGAAGAAGGUCUUCGGAUUGUAAAGCACUUUAAGUUGGGAGGAAGGGCAGUAAGUUAAUACCUUGCUGUUUUGACGUUACCAACAGAAUAAGCACCGGCUAACUUCGUG
Molecule: ribosomal RNA, 484 nt
Filed under: uncultured bacterium
Lineage: Bacteria
Description: partial 16S ribosomal RNA
Rfam family: Bacterial small subunit ribosomal RNA
Source: RNAcentral